GCUCAGGAUGAACGCUAGCUACAGGCUUAACACAUGCAAGUCGAGGGGUAGCAGGGUAGCAAUACCGCUGACGACCGGCGCACGGGUGAGUAACACGUAUCCAACCUUCCCAUAACUCGGGGAUAGCCUUUCGAAAGAAAGAUUAAUACCCGAUAGUACUUUAUUAAGGCAUCUUAAGAAAGUUAAAGAUUUAUUGGUUAUGGAUGGGGAUGCGUUCCAUUAGAUAGUUGGUGAGGUAACGGCUCACCAAGUCUUCGAUGGAUAGGGGUUCUGAGAGGAAGGUCCCCCACAUUGGUACUGAGACACGGACCAAACUCCUACGGGAGGCAGCAGUGAGGAAUAUUG
Molecule: ribosomal RNA, 345 nt
Filed under: uncultured Bacteroidales bacterium
Lineage: Bacteria; Pseudomonadati; Bacteroidota; Bacteroidia; Bacteroidales
Description: bacterial SSU rRNA
Rfam family: Bacterial small subunit ribosomal RNA
Source: RNAcentral